Molecule: non-coding RNA, 563 nt
Organism: Arvicanthis niloticus (Nile rat)
Lineage: Eukaryota; Metazoa; Chordata; Mammalia; Rodentia; Muridae
Source: RefSeq, a predicted model, not a curated record
GCAUGAUGGUGGCCCACUAUCUGGGGCCAUAUUAAGUUUCGCUGGGGGAAGCUGUGGGGCCAAUCGCAGAGCAGCUUACUGGAAUACGCUAGGUUGACUUCGAUGCGGGAGCCAAGCGCUUGAGCUGUCACUGAAGUGACUGAAAGUGGAAUGCAGUAGCGCUCUGGGCCUGGGACAUCGUGGUUGAUAACUGUGCCAUCUGCAGGAACCACAUUAUGGAUCUUUGCAUUGAAUGUCAGGCCAACCAGGCGUCAGCUACUUCCGAAGAGUGUACGGUUGCAUGGGGAGUCUGUAACCAUGCUUUUCAUUUCCACUGCAUCUCUCGAUGGCUCAAAACGAGGCAGGUGUGUCCGCUGGACAACAGAGAGUGGGAAUUCCAAAAGUAUGGGCAUUAAGAAAGACUCUCCCGUAAAACGUACCCAUUUGUUCCUUGUUUAGUGACUUCCUGUUAAUUAUAGAUUAGAUAGAACCAUGGUUCCUUUUCUUUCUUUUCUCUUUGGAGUUUGGUGUUCCUGCAGCCAUAUUGUAUUUUGUGUCAAAUAAAGCCUUUAAGUUGGAGGUGA